ACUGGUCUUCUGUCGAGGGUUUACGAAUCACUGUGUCCCCUGCUAGAACGUUCAAGCAAGCUCUCAAGGUCAUUUGUAGGAGAACGUACGGCAGGCAAGUUUCCAAAUGAGGCACUGCACAUGGCAGUCUGCCUUUCUUU
Molecule: small nuclear RNA, 140 nt
Filed under: Erinaceus europaeus (western European hedgehog)
Lineage: Eukaryota; Metazoa; Chordata; Mammalia; Eulipotyphla; Erinaceidae
Description: 7SK RNA
Rfam family: 7SK RNA
About the family: 7SK was discovered as an abundant small nuclear RNA in the mid-70s but a possible function has only recently been suggested. Two independent studies have found that 7SK RNA binds the CDK9/cyclin T complex (known as elongation factor P-TEFb).
Source: Rfam by way of RNAcentral